AACAUCGCGCACCUGCGGGAACCUGCGGAAGGAUCAUUAAUGAUUGGUGGCUGUUGCUGACUAGUGUUUCUAGUAUGUGCACGCCACACCUUCAAUCCCACUUACACCUGUGCACCUUCUGUAAUAGAUCUAUGUGGAUACGGAGAUAUGAAAGUUUGCGCUCUCGUACUCUGCUGAAGCAGUCUACUACGUUUUUUUACACACACACAAUAGUCAUUGAAUGUAUUUUUUAUUCUUAUG
This 240-nucleotide unclassified non-coding RNA is filed under the name soil metagenome. RNAcentral's name for it is "partial contains 5.8S ribosomal RNA, internal transcribed spacer 2, and large subunit ribosomal RNA". The record is from RNAcentral.